RNAcentral lists this ribosomal RNA (460 nucleotides) under uncultured bacterium. RNAcentral describes it as "partial 16S ribosomal RNA". It matches the Rfam family "Bacterial small subunit ribosomal RNA", at positions 338 to 795 of the family's 1533-position model. The record is from RNAcentral.
CCUACGGGAGGCAGCAGUGAGGAAUCUUGGUCAAUGGACGAGAGUCUGAACCAGCCAAGUAGCGUGAAGGAUGAAUGCCCUAUGGGUUGUAAACUUCUUUUAUAUGGGAAUAAACUGUUCCAAGUGUGGGAUUUUGUAUGUACCAUAUGAAUAAGGAUCGGCUAACUCCGUGCCAGCAGCCGCGGUAAUACGGAGGAUCCGAGCGUUAUCCGGAUUUAUUGGGUUUAAAGGGAGCGUAGGUGGAUUGUUAAGUCAGUUGUGAAAGUUUGCGGCUCAACCGUAAAAUUGCAGUUGAAACUGGCAGUCUUGAGUACAGUAGAGGUGGGCGGAAUUCGGGGUGUAGUGGUGAAAUGCUUAGAUAUCACGAAGAACUCCGAUUGCGAAGGCAGUUCACUGGACUGCAACUGACACUGAGGCUCGAAAGUGUGGGGAUCAAACAGGAUUAGAUACCCCGGUAGUC